This 738-nucleotide ribosomal RNA is filed under the name uncultured bacterium. RNAcentral's name for it is "bacterial SSU rRNA". It matches the Rfam family "Bacterial small subunit ribosomal RNA", at positions 8 to 796 of the family's 1533-position model. The record is from RNAcentral.
AGAGUUUGAUCAUGGCUCAGAACGAACGCUGGCGGCAGGCUUAACACAUGCAAGUCGAGCGCGUGGCAACACGAGCGGCAGACGGGUGAGUAACGCGUGGGAAUCUACCGGACCCUACGGAAUAACGCAUGGAAACGUGUGCUAAUACCGUAUACGCCCUACGGGGGAAAGAUUUAUCGGGGUUUGAUGAGCCCGCGUUGGAUCAGCUAGUUGGUGGGGUAAAGGCCUACCAAGGCGACGAUCCAUAGCUGGUCUGAGAGGAUGAUCAGCCACAUUGGGACUGAGACACGGCCCAAACUCCUACGGGAGGCAGCAGUGGGGAAUAUUGGACAAUGGGCGCAAGCCUGAUCCAGCCAUGCCGCGUGAGUGAUGAAGGCUCUAGGGUUGUAAAGCUCUUUCACCGGAGAAGAUAAUGACGGUAUCCGGAGAAGAAGCCCCGGCUAACUUCGUGCCAGCAGCCGCGGUAAUACGAAGGGGGCUAGCGUUGUUCGGAAUUACUGGGCGUAAAGCGCACGUAGGCGGACAUUUAAGUCAGGGGUGAAAUCCCGGAGCUCAACUCCGGAACUGCCUUUGAUACUGGGUGUCUUGAGUGUGGAAGAGGUGAGUGGAAUUCCGAGUGUAGAGGUGAAAUUCGUAGAUAUUCGGAGGAACACCAGUGGCGAAGGCGGCUCACUGGUCCAUUACUGACGCUGAGGUGCGAAAGCGUGGGGAGCAAACAGGAUUAGAUACCCGUAGUCC